Molecule: ribosomal RNA, 514 nt
Filed under: uncultured bacterium
Lineage: Bacteria
Description: bacterial SSU rRNA
Rfam family: Bacterial small subunit ribosomal RNA
Source: RNAcentral
GAUUAUGGCUCAGGAUGAACGCUAGCUACAGGCUAACACAUGCAAGUCGAGGGGCAGCAUUGGAGUAGCAAUACUUCAGAUGGCGACCGGCGCACGGGUGAGUAACACGUAUCCAACCUGCCGCUUACUCGGGGAUAGCCUUUCGAAAGAAAGAUUAAUACCCGAUGGUAUAAAGAGUUCGCAUGUUCUCUUUAUUAAAGAAUUUCGGUAAGCGAUGGGGAUGCGUUCCAUUAGAUAGUUGGCGGGUAACGGCCCACCAAGUCUACGAUGGAUAGGGGUUCUGAGAGGAAGGUCCCCCACAUUGGAACUGAGACACGGUCCAAACUCCUACGGGAGGCAGCAGUGAGGAAUAUUGGUCAAUGGACGAGAGUCUGAACCAGCCAAGUCGCGUGCAGGAAGAAUGUCCUUAAUGGAUUGUAAACUGUCUUUUGCGAGGGGGAAUAAAGUGCAUCACGUGUGAUGUUUUGUAUGUACUCUGCGAAUAAGGAUCGGCUAACUCUGUGCCAGCCGCAGC